CCGAGUUGUUAGACACCGGCGUAAAGAGUGGUUAAGAUUGCACCUAACACUAAAGCCGAACGCCCUCAAAGCUGUUAUACGCAUCCGAAGGUAAGAAGCCCAACCACGAAAGUGGCUUUAUAACAUCUGAAUCCACGAAAGCUAUGACACAAACUGGGAUUAGAUACCCCACUAUGCCUAGCCAUAAACCUUGAUAGUAACCUACCCCUACUAUCCGCCCGGGAACUACGAGCAUCAGCUUAAAACCCAAAGGACUUGGCGGUGCUUUAGACCCACCUAGAGGAGCCUGUUCUAGAACCGAUUACCCCCGUUCAACCUCACCUUUCCUUGUCCCUCCCGCCUAUAUACCACCGUCGUCAGCUUACCCUGUGAAGGACUCAUAGUAAGCAAGAUUGGCAUAGCCCAAAACGUCAGGUCGAGGUGUAGCGUAUGGAAAGGGAAGAAAUGGGCUACAUUCCCUAACACAGUGAACUACGAACGAUACGCUGAAACACGUAUCUGAAGGAGGAUUUAGCAGUAAGCAGAAAAUAGAGCGUUCCGCUGAAACCGGCCCUGAAGCGCGCACACACCGCCCGUCACUCUCCCCGAGCCCAUCAACAUCAAAUACUUAAAACCUUUAAACUGCAAAGG
This 630-nucleotide ribosomal RNA is filed under the name Macolor niger (black and white snapper). RNAcentral describes it as "partial small subunit ribosomal RNA". It matches the Rfam family "Bacterial small subunit ribosomal RNA", at positions 536 to 1449 of the family's 1533-position model. The record is from RNAcentral. Lineage: Eukaryota; Metazoa; Chordata; Actinopteri; Lutjaniformes; Lutjanidae.